Molecule: ribosomal RNA, 320 nt
Filed under: uncultured eukaryote
Lineage: Eukaryota
Description: partial 18S ribosomal RNA
Rfam family: Eukaryotic small subunit ribosomal RNA
Source: RNAcentral
CCCUUAGAUGUUCUGGGCCGCACGCGCGCUACACUGAUGCAUUCAACGAGUUCUUCCUGGUCCGAGAGGAAUGGGUAACCUUUUGAAAGUGCAUCGUGCUAGGGAUAGACUAUUGCAAUUAUUGGUCUUCAACGAGGAAUUCCUGGUAGACGUAGUUCAUCAGACUGCAUCGAUUACGUCCCUGCCCUUUGUACACACCGCCCGUCGCUCCUACCGAUUGGAUGAUCCGGUGAGCUAUUCGGACCUGUGCAUUUUCCAUUGGAACUUGCGUGGGAAAGUCUCGCGAACCUUAUCAUCUAGAGGAAGGAGAAGUCGUAACA